GCGUGCUUAACACAUGCAAGUCGAGCGGUAAGGCCCUUCGGGGUACACGAGCGGCGAACGGGUGAGUAACACGUGAGCAACCUGCCCCUGACUCCGGGAUAAGCGGUGGAAACGCCGUCUAAUACCGGAUAUGACACACCAUCUCCUGGUGGUGUGUGGAAAGUUGUAUCGGUCAGGGAUGGGCUCGCGGCCUAUCAGCUAGUUGGUGGGGUAAAGGCCUACCAAGGCGAUUACGGGUAGCCGGCCUGAGAGGGCGACCGGCCACACUGGGACUGAGACACGGCCCAGACUCCUGCGGGAGGCAGCAGUGGGGAAUAUUGCACAAUGGGCGAAAGCCUGAUGCAGCGACGCCGCGUGGGGGAUGACGGCCUUCGGGUUGUAAACCUCUUUUACCACCAACGCAGGCCCCGGGUUCUCUCGGGGUUGACGGUAGGUGGGGAAUAAGGACCGGCUAACUACGUGCCAGCAGCCGCGGUAAUACGUAGGGUCCGAGCGUUGUCCGGAAUUAUUGGGCGUAAAGAGCUCGUAGGCGGCGUGUCGCGUCUGCUGUGAAAGACCGGGGCUUAACCCCGGUUCUGCAGUGGAUACGGGCAUGCUAGA
Molecule: ribosomal RNA, 600 nt
Filed under: Nocardiopsis sp. YIM 80218
Lineage: Bacteria; Bacillati; Actinomycetota; Actinomycetes; Streptosporangiales; Nocardiopsidaceae
Description: bacterial SSU rRNA
Rfam family: Bacterial small subunit ribosomal RNA
Source: RNAcentral